GCAGUCGAGCGGUAGCACAGGAGAGCUUGCUCUCCGGGUGACGAGCGGCGGACGGGUGAGUAAUGUCUGGGAAACUGCCUGAUGGAGGGGGAUAACUACUGGAAACGGUAGCUAAUACCGCAUAACGUCUACGGACCAAAGUGGGGGACCUUCGGGCCUCACGCCAUCAGAUGUGCCCAGAUGGGAUUAGCUAGUAGGUGGGGUAAUGGCUCACCUAGGCGACGAUCCCUAGCUGGUCUGAGAGGAUGACCAGCCACACUGGAACUGAGACACGGUCCAGACUCCUACGGGAGGCAGCAGUGGGGAAUAUUGCACAAUGGGCGCAAGCCUGAUGCAGCCAUGCCGCGUGUGUGAAGAAGGCCUUAGGGUUGUAAAGCACUUUCAGCGAGGAGGAAGGGUAGUGUGUUAAUAGCACAUUGCAUUGACGUUACUCGCAGAAGAAGCACCGGCUAACUCCGUGCCAGCAGCCGCGGUAAUACGGAGGGUGCAAGCGUUAAUCGGAAUUACUGGGCGUAAAGCGCACGCAGGCGGUUUGUUAAGUCAGAUGUGAAAUCCCCGCGCUUAACGUGGGAACUGCAUUUGAAACUGGCAAGCUAGAGUCUUGUAGAGGGGGGUAGAAUUCCAGGUGUAGCGGUGAAAUGCGUAGAGAUCUGGAGGAAUACCGGUGGCGAAGGCGGCCCCCUGGACAAAGACUGACGCUCAGGUGCGAAAGCGUG
RNAcentral lists this ribosomal RNA (716 nucleotides) under Serratia sp. 1-9. RNAcentral's name for it is "bacterial SSU rRNA". It matches the Rfam family "Bacterial small subunit ribosomal RNA", at positions 57 to 763 of the family's 1533-position model. The record is from RNAcentral. Lineage: Bacteria; Pseudomonadati; Pseudomonadota; Gammaproteobacteria; Enterobacterales; Yersiniaceae.